Dama dama (fallow deer) is the source of this 911-nucleotide long non-coding RNA. RefSeq lists it as uncharacterized. Lineage: Eukaryota; Metazoa; Chordata; Mammalia; Artiodactyla; Cervidae. The transcript has 4 exons. The record is from RefSeq and is a predicted model, not a curated record.
UGCAGAGAAGAUAGUGUUUCAUGGUGCCGUUUAUUGACCGUACUAAGCUGGGCAGGGAAGGUCCGUACUCCCAAGAACCCCAUUCGAGCUCCGAUAACUCUCGGUGCCCCAAGAGGGUGGGACGGGGCCGUGUAAUGGCCGGUGAUGUUGGUGAGGAGAGAGAGGGAGUGCUGCAACUCGGAAGAAAAUAAAGCUCUUUCGUGGAGCUCGUGCACGCGUUUAGAGGGCUUUUUGCAAUUACUUUGCCUCAAAACCAUCCGGAAUCCGGCCCUUCCCAUCGCACUGCUACAGCCCUAGACACCUUUUCGCCGCAAACUGUGCAAGUGUCUCUUGCCGGGGCUUGCCUCGCUCAUCCUCAGUGCUGCGAACCUGGGGAGUUACUGUCUGUUCCCUGCUGAAAAGCCGGACCGGCACCUCUUCAAGAUUCCGCUUCUUUCAUCCGGAGUUGCCCCUCUCCUCCCCCACAGCCACUUGGGUUCCAGUUUAGUCUUGCCGACGACUUUCUCUGCCUGGCAUGCCCUUGCUCUCAAAUGUCACAGCUCCUAUGAAGCCUCACUCAAAUUCUGAGACAUUUAUUACACUACCGUUUCUAAUGGAAAAAGAGCAUGUGGUUUCAUGGUCUACGGCUGCCAGAUGUUUCCCAGGUUUCAAUGGUCCUGGUAGAUAAAAGAAAAUUAGCAAGGUCAGAAGAGAGAAGAGAUUUAUCAUGGAAUAGAAAUAACUGUAUUCCAAGUGUACAGAAGGGGAAGAAUUGAAGUAUUUCUGAUAGGAAGCAAAGACCCACAAUGAUAAAUGAAGGUUUCUAAACCUCCAGUGACAUUAAGAAACCAAGCUCUUCUGGAUGAAAAUGAGAGAAGUCAUCUAUGUGCUGAAAAGUAUUUACAUCAGUUAAGAUCAUUCCCAGAACCUCA